RNAcentral lists this ribosomal RNA (375 nucleotides) under uncultured organism. Its description in RNAcentral is "partial 16S ribosomal RNA". It matches the Rfam family "Bacterial small subunit ribosomal RNA", at positions 527 to 896 of the family's 1533-position model. The record is from RNAcentral.
GUAGGUGGCAAGCGUUGUCCGGAAUUAUUGGGCGUAAAGCGCGCGCAGGCGGUUCUUUAAGUCUGAUGUGAAAGCCCACGGCUCAACCGUGGAGGGUCAUUGGAAACUGGAGAACUUGAGUACAGAAGAGGAAAGUGGAAUUCCACGUGUAGCGGUGAAAUGCGUAGAGAUGUGGAGGAACACCAGUGGCGAAGGCGGCUUUCUGGUCUGUAACUGACGCUGAGGCGCGAAAGCGUGGGGAGCAAACAGGGAUUAGAUACCCUGGUAGUCCACGCCGUAAACGAUGAGUGCUAAGUGUUAGGGGGGGUUUCCGCCCCCCUUAGUGCUGCAGCUAACGCAUUAAGCACUCCGCCUGGGGAUACGGCCGCAAGGCUG